Cryptotermes secundus is the source of this 2874-nucleotide long non-coding RNA. RefSeq lists it as uncharacterized. The transcript has 2 exons. The record is from RefSeq and is a predicted model, not a curated record. Lineage: Eukaryota; Metazoa; Arthropoda; Insecta; Blattodea; Kalotermitidae.
GACUACACGACGCUAUGUCCAACACGGUCCAACAUGUAACUGUUCUUCGUAACCACCGCUGCGAGAACCUCAAAUUCAACAUAAUUACACUGAUUGUCAGCAGUAAGCUUCUGCUCUGUGGCUACCAUCAAUUUCUCUUCAGUCGACCGAUCACAGCCAUUGUAGCUAUGCUGAUGUCAUGAAGCAGCAGCUGCCGUAACUCUCCAGUAAAACGGCGCUGAGACAACAGACUCUGCCAGUGCACGUGCCAUAGGCUGCGGGUGCUACCGGCACACGCACCACCGCAUCACUGGUCAGCCAGACCCGCCAAACAGCAGUCAAGAUCAUCAAGAAGACCUGGGCUGCUACAAAGCAGCAAACUCUACUAGCGCACUCACAGUUGAACAAACGGCCCCUUUCAGGCCCAGCAAACUCUGGUUGAACAAACACCCCUUUUCAGGGCCAGCAAUCUUGUGAACAAGAGAUAUAUAUCGAAACGGCUUCCCAGCCAUCCUUUACAUUUGUAAAUAAUAUAUGCACCUAUGUAUGGGUAAGAUGUUUACCAUCCCAUGAAUAUUUCCAAAUAAAAAUCAGAUCAGUGGAUAGCAUACUGUAACUCAAUUGUGUAAGAAGAUUUACAAGGAGAGUAGAUGUGGGCUACAAAAUUUAUAUGGACAGUUAUUUCUUUUCUUUAGACACACAUGAUGACCAUCGCACAAGAGCUCCCAAUUUUUGUGAAACUGUUGGCCUAAACUAUGAAAAAUGCUAGAGAGACAUGACAGUAAACACUGAAAUUUUCUUUUGAUGACCAUGCUAGGAAUGGCUGUUUGCCAUUCAUUUAGUUGGAGAACAUGGAAGUACACAAAACAUUAUUUUCACACCUGCUGGAUAUGAAUAUAUUGAAUAGCUAUGCCUCCAAACAUUGUGGUUAUACCAGCUGUUGGAGUUUCAGUAUUAAUAAGCAGCAGGCAUUGAAAACACACUUCGGAAAGAUGGCAUCACAUAAUUCUUAAAAAUAGUUGUAUUCCCCCCCCCCUUUGGAAAAUACACAGCCUGUUACAAUACUGCACAGUGAUUUAUAUGAAUGGUUUAGAUCUCUUCUGAGAAUUGAUGUAAAAAUAUUAUUUAACCCAUACACAUCAUUAUACACUGGCAUUUGCUACACAUUUCAUCAAAAACUACCAUCACCAAUACUGUAGCUUUAAGUAUUUGUGUUAGUGGUCCUAUAACUUUCUUUAUAUGUAUACAUCUUAUUAUAAAGCCAGUAGAAUUCACUGUAUGGAUUUGCAUUAUUUAAAGAUUGUUAAAACACUUUACUAAACAUUUUGUUGAAAUAAUUGUAAAACACUUUACUAAACAUUUUGUUGAAAUAAUUGCUGUUCUGAGAAUCUAAGUGCAAGCGUAUCAUAGGUUCAGUAGUCUGUCUUGGGCCUGAUUUGUAUUAAUGUUGUUUUAAGUGCUUCUUAAAAAAGAUAUCAUUUUGAGAGAAUUAUAAGAGAGAUUUUCUAAACGUGGGGCCGAAGCUCCUAUAAAAGUUUAAAUGACAAAUCUAGAGAUCAUUGUGUAGAUGUUCUUAUGUCACUUUUACCAUUAAGUGUAUACAAAAAAUUCAGUAUAUAGAAUUUAUCUAGUUUUAAUACUGUUUAUAUUUUUAUAAGUUAAAAUUCUUGUACAUAAUUCUCAUGACUAAAUGCUAACAAGACAUUGUUAUUUGAAUUAUUGUAAUAUACACACUUACAUGAUGGCUACAAAGCAAGAGUUAGUAAAUACAAGGAUGAUGAAAAUGGACAGAUGAUUAAUAACAUUUCAGUGAUAAUAAAUGGUUUAGUAACAUCUAAUAACAAUAAAGUUCUAAACAGUAACAUCCUACAUUCAUAUGAUGAAACCGUUGAGGCUAAUGCAAGGAUUGAGAAAGAGAAAGUUGCUGAUUCAGCAGCAAGUGCUUCAAAGAACAAAGGAAACCACACUAUGUUAAUUAUUGGAGACAGCCAUGUAAGGAGAUGUGCAAGUAAAUUGAGAGAAAAUCUUGAUAAAACUUAUAAGGUAAUUGGAAUUAUAAAACCAGGAGCUGAUUUAUUUACCCUAAGUAAUUCUGUAAAACAUACUAUUUUAACCUUAGGAAAAAAUGAUGCUCUUGUAUUUAGUUGAGGUGCAAACAAUAUCGCAAAAAAUAAUUCAAAAAUGGGACUAAGACACAUUUUAAACUUUGUAAGUAAUAAUACUCAUACUAAUAUUAUUCUAUUAGGUAUAUCACAUAGACAUGACCUGGCAGAUUGGUCUUGUAUAAAUAAUGAGAUAAAUGCCUUUAAUAGGAAACUGUUUAAAAUCAUGAAAUGUCAUGAACAGGUCACAGUAAUGAACUGUGACUUAAACAGACACUUCUUUACAAGACAAGGUAUGCAUCUGAACAGGAGAGGAAAAGAAGAAAUACUUAAACAUAUGGCAGCAACCUGUGUGACAAUUUCUCAAUCUAAUAAAAAUUUGACCCCAAUUUGCUUGCUCUGGAAAGAAUCUGAAAAUUAUAAUGCAAAUCUACAAGCUAACAAGUGUACAGCUAUGAAUGACUCAGUAAAAACAACUACAGAGCAAAAAAAAAUGAACCAGUACGCAAAUCAAAUAGACUCAAAAAACUACCAGGUAUGUAAAAUAAGGAUUUUUUAUGGUAAAUAAGAGUACUCCAAAAAGAAAUAUUUCCUUAAACAGAGUAACCAAAAAACAAAAUGAUAUCAAAUUCUUUAAUAUUUUCCAUCAGAACAUUAGGGGUUUAAGGGGGAAAGCAAAUGAGCUAUUAAAUCAUCUACACCCAGCCUCCCCCCACAUAUUAUGUUUUACAGAACAUCACAUGAAUUUCUUGGAAUUACAACAGUUAUAUUCGUAUAAACUAGGAACAAACUA